GGGGAAUAUUGCACAAUGGGCGAAAGCCUGAUGCAGCGACGCCGCGUGAGGGAUGACGGCCUUCGGGUUGUAAACCUCUUUUAGCAGGGAAGAAGCGAAAGUGACGGUACCUGCAGAAGAAGCGCCGGCUAACUACGUGCCAGCAGCCGCGGUAAUACGUAGGUGGCAAGCGUUGUCCGGAUUUACUGGGCGUAAAGGAUGCGUAGGCGGAUAUUUAAGUGAGAUGUGAAAUACCCGGGCUCAACUUGGGUGCUGCAUUUCAAACUGGAUAUCUAGAGUGCAGGAGAGGAAAGUGGAAUUCCUAGUGUAGCGGUGAAAUGCGUAGAGAUUAGGAAGAACAUCAGUGGCGAAGGCGACUUUCUGGACUGUAACUGACGCUGAGGCAUGAAAGCGUGGGGAGCAAACA
This 406-nucleotide ribosomal RNA is filed under the name uncultured Eubacteriales bacterium. RNAcentral describes it as "bacterial SSU rRNA". It matches the Rfam family "Bacterial small subunit ribosomal RNA", at positions 356 to 774 of the family's 1533-position model. The record is from RNAcentral. Lineage: Bacteria; Bacillati; Bacillota; Clostridia; Eubacteriales.